ACAUCUUGCCUCAGGCAUUUUUGUCCCUCACAGUUCUCUGACUGCAGGAGGCAGGAGCGCCCGUCUCCUGCCAACUUGUACUCCUGCACGCAUCUGCGGACAAGGAACAAGCUGUCAGCGUAAUGGAAGGAGAAAGCUUUGGGAGAAGCUUGGUAAUCUGGGAGGGACUCCACAAAGAGCUGCUGCUUCUCCUCAUUGAGAGGAACCAGUUGAUACGGCUCUGGCAUCUGGUUAGGACGCCUUCCUGGAGGAGCCUUGGAGGACCUGCCGCAUGUGGCUGGGGAGAGGAGAGACUGGGCCUCUCUGCUCAGGCUGCUGCCAUAAAGACCUGACCCUAGCAGAGGCACAAGUGAGUAAUGCCCUGCCAUCGUACUGCAGCAGAACCAACCAAAGAAAGAGGGGAAGACAUGCGGCAAACGUGCCGAGGUUCUGGGAGACAAACCAGGAACAACUGCAAUGGGGACGACUGUCUCUGCUCCACCCACGCGACACCCCUCAUUGUUGAAUAAGAGUUAUAGGGAAGCUGUGAUUAAUUCUGCUUUAAUAUCUUAAAGAAUUGCUGACUUUGAUUGCCUCAGUUUGGAUUGGUGUUCUUGAUGAAAAAACAAGAUAAAGGCGGGGCAAAAACUGCAUUAAUGGGAAACAUUCUAGGUAAGAAUCAAAGCGCUUAAAAAAAUAUACAAAUUUUAGUCUUUGGGUAAAACAUGUUUGAUGAUUUGAAACAUCUAUAUUUGGGGGGGAAAAAGGGAAAAGAUGAGAAUGUCACACAGGGAAAUACUUUUUCAAUAACUUCAGUCCAAGCAUCAAACAUGUGGAGGUCAGCACUUCUGCAGUAAAUAAAAUGUGGUAUCUGUCCAUAGAAUCAAGUUAAUAUUUGCACAUAUUGUCUACAAUAUUAUUCAAGGACAGUUUUCUCAGUACCAACUGGGAGUCUGAAAGUUACCUGACCUUGACAUUUACUGAGAUAACAUAAUGCAUUUUAGCUUAAUAUUCUAGAAGCAGUUUCAUUUUGAAUACAUUAAAAAAGAAGUACUGUAACUUGGUGGUGCAAUAAUAACUGAAUUAGUGCAUAUGUAUAUUUUGGGGUUUGUACAGUGAUAAAACAUGAAAAUAUCAGACUAAUUAUAGUAAUCACCCUUUGCAAUUACUUCUAAUUAUUUAAAUAAUAUUACCCUAAUAAUAUUUGAAAGUAGUUUACUGGUUAUAUGGUGUCUACAUGUUUUUCCUCAAACACAAUCCAACACCUACAUGCUUUCUUAAGAGGCUGAGAACAUCUACAAAUAACUAUGCACAGUUAUGUUUUCUGUUGAAAGUUGCAGUACGCAACUUCCAUAAACAAUUAUAAUUUUUUUUUAACAUAUUUGUUAAAACUGUCACUAUGUUUUGACUGUAUAACACAAGAGAGAAUCUGUGGGAAAAAAAAAACAGCUCUGCUCCCUUCUCCCUGUAGUAAAAUAAUAAUAAUAAUAAUAAAAAAAUCAAUAAAAAAAAAUCAACAAAUAAUAGUAGUUUAAUUCUAAUGUGUAUUCUGGUUUUCAAUAAGUUUUAAAAGCAUUAAAAUCUAAAGUCAAACAUUUAUAUGUUUGACUUUAGAUUUUAGGUUUAUACCUACUCAAAAUAGAUUCUCCAAUGUCUAUAUUUUUAUGUAAAGACAGCCUUGAAUGAGAUUUUGAACAACUAUUUCCCAAAACACGAGAUUUAUGCAAGACAUGAAAAAAAAAAAACUUUCUUCACAUUGGAUUAUACAAGUCUCUUCAAUGAAACAUUUUAACUACAGUAAUAAUUGCAUUUAUGGUUAUGGACAUUUGAAUAUAUUAUUAAUUUCUUUUAAAAUAUUGUUUUAAUGUAGUAACACUUCAGCAGUUCUCACAAAAUCAGUCUAGUAGUAUUGUACUGGUGACAAGCAGACUGUCCACAAUUAAGAGUUGUUAUUUUUUAUUUAUUUUUUUGG
This is a non-coding RNA of Poecilia reticulata (guppy), 1951 nucleotides long. Lineage: Eukaryota; Metazoa; Chordata; Actinopteri; Cyprinodontiformes; Poeciliidae. The record is from RefSeq and is a predicted model, not a curated record.